UUUUAUGAGAGUUUGAUCCUGGCUCAGGACGAACGCUGGCGGCGUGCCUAAUACAUGCAAGUAGAACGCUGAAGUCUGGUGCUUGCACUAGACGGAUGAGUUGCGAACGGGUGAGUAACGCGUAGGUAACCUGCCUCAUAGCGGGGGAUAACUAUUGGAAACGAUAGCUAAUACCGCAUAACAGUAUUUACCGCAUGGUAGAUAUUUGAAAGGAGCAAUUGCUUCACUAUGAGAUGGACCUGCGUUGUAUUAGCUAGUUGGUGAGGUAACGGCUCACCAAGGCUUCGAUACAUAGCCGACCUGAGAGGGUGAUCGGCCACACUGGGACUGAGACACGGCCCAGACUCCUACGGGAGGCAGCAGUAGGGAAUCUUCGGCAAUGGGGGCAACCCUGACCGAGCAACGCCGCGUGAGUGAAGAAGGUUUUCGGAUCGUAAAGCUCUGUUGUAAGGGAAGAACUGUGAGAAGAGUGGAAAGUUUCUCACUUGACGGUAUCUUACCAGAAAGGGACGGCUAACUACGUGCCAGCAGCCGCGGUAAUACGUAGGUCCCGAGCGUUGUCCGGAUUUAUUGGGCGUAAAGCGAGCGCAGGCGGUUUGAUAAGUCUGAAGUAAAAGGCUGUGGCUUAACCAUAGUACGCUUUGGAAACUGUCAAACUUGAGUGCAGAAGGGGAGAGUGGAAUUCCAUGUGUAGCGGUGAAAUGCGUAGAUAUAUGGAGGAACACCGGUGGCGAAAGCGGCUCUCUGGUCUGUAACUGACGCUGAGGCUCGAAAGCGUGGGGAGCGAACAGGAUUAGAUACCCUGGUAGUCCACGCCGUAAACGAUGAGUGCUAGGUGUUGGGUCCUUUCCGGGACUCAGUGCCGCAGCUAACGCAUUAAGCACUCCGCCUGGGGAGUACGACCGCAAGGUUGAAACUCAAAGGAAUUGACGGGGGCCCGCACAAGCGGUGGAGCAUGUGGUUUAAUUCGAAGCAACGCGAAGAACCUUACCAGGUCUUGACAUCCCGAUGACCGCCCUAGAGAUAGGGUUUCUCUUCGGAGCAUCGGUGACAGGUGGUGCAUGGUUGUCGUCAGCUCGUGUCGUGAGAUGUUGGGUUAAGUCCCGCAACGAGCGCAACCCCUAUUGUUAGUUGCCAUCAUUCAGUUGGGCACUCUAGCGAGACUGCCGGUAAUAAACCGGAGGAAGGUGGGGAUGACGUCAAAUCAUCAUGCCCCUUAUGACCUGGGCUACACACGUGCUACAAUGGCUGGUACAACGAGUCGCAAGUCGGUGACGGCAAGCUAAUCUCUUAAAGCCAGUCUCAGUUCGGAUUGUAGGCUGCAACUCGCCUACAUGAAGUCGGAAUCGCUAGUAAUCGCGGAUCAGCACGCCGCGGUGAAUACGUUCCCGGGCCUUGUACACACCGCCCGUCACACCACGAGAGUUUGUAACACCCGAAGUCGGUGAGGUAACCUUUUAGGAGCCAGCCGCCUAAGGUGGGAUAGAUGAUUGGGGUGAAGUCGUAACAAGGUAGCCGUAUCGGAAGGUGCGGCUGGAUCACCUCCUUU
This 1549-nucleotide ribosomal RNA is filed under the name Streptococcus suis. RNAcentral describes it as "bacterial SSU rRNA". It matches the Rfam family "Bacterial small subunit ribosomal RNA". RNAcentral also lists the same sequence under 1 other name. The record is from RNAcentral. Lineage: Bacteria; Bacillati; Bacillota; Bacilli; Lactobacillales; Streptococcaceae.